RNAcentral lists this long non-coding RNA (1604 nucleotides) under Anas platyrhynchos platyrhynchos (common mallard). RNAcentral describes it as "lncRNA (ENSAPLG00000030908.1)". The record is from RNAcentral. Lineage: Eukaryota; Metazoa; Chordata; Aves; Anseriformes; Anatidae.
UCAUUCUAGUGUUAGGUAAUAUAUUGUCUGGGCUAGGUGAACGUGGCAUGAUAAGCAUAGCAUCAGGUGUGCUGUCUCUUUUAAUUGUGUUCAUUUCAGAAGGACUGAUUAGGAUGCUGUGGUGUAAUUGCCUGAAGUAACUAGGAAAAUAAAACUAACAUUGACAUUUUUAAGGAAAAGGUACAGCAUUGAAGAGGCUUUCAGGGUAGGGCAUAACUGCAUUACCUGAGCAUUCCCUAGACUCCCAACCUUAGAUGCUAUCGCGCUGGGGAAACUUGGUGUGCUAGCUCUAAGGAACACCACGGAGCAUAGAGUGGAGUGGAGACACCAUGGCUAGGCUCUGUAACCAGGUGGGAACUCUAUUGUUCUUGUGCACAAAGCUGCACAUUUUGCCACCCUGAGCCAAAGACCUGUCAUGUUUUGACAAAUGCUGUACCCUAGUGUACUUUUUGCUCAUUAUAAUAUCAUUAUAAUAACAAAACACACCUCCAUCCCAAAAGCUACCCGCCUCCAAGGUGCGACCACCCCUCACUGAGCAUGUGCCCUGAAUUUCUCGGAGCAUAUUACUUUAAACAGAGACGGGAAAACUUUACACCAAUCAUAACUAAGAUAUGCUUGACUAGAGUCACUCAAGCUCCACCUAAAAGAUAGAAAAUAAUAUAAAUUGGCCCAAGAAAGAGGGGAUGUCAGGGAAGAUACCACCGUCAGGGGAGAUACCAUCCAGAGGAAAUACAACAUCCUUAGGACCUCCUGACUCCUGGGAUCAGUCGACGAGCUGAGCCUCUCUUCCCCCUCAUUGGGAUGCCUUUGGGAAAGCUAAAUGUAUUGGAACAGAUUCCUCCAGCUGUGUUUGGCUUGCUUGAAUUGUUGGACAGGUCUAAAAAGAAACUGGAAGCUGGCUGCUGUUGCCCAUUCAAGAUUUCCCCUGAGGUACAGAAUCAUUCUCUCCUAUUCACUGUGUUGACUGAAGGAGGGAGUCCUAAGAUAUGUCCCAGGAGAAAUCCGGUGUGAGGCUGGGGACAUUGCAAUGUAUAUGGAUUGGCUUGCACAUGGACAUUGCAUUGAAGUGGACUUCCCUCACAGAAUCACAGAAUGGCCAAGAUUGAAAGGGACCUCUGAAGAUCAUCUAGUCUGACCUCCCUGCCAAGCACACUGAGCACAUUGCUAGAGCACAUUGCUCAGGAUGGCAUCCAGGCAGCAUUUGAAUAUCUACAGAGAAGGAGACUCCACUGCCUAGGCAACUUGUUCCAGUGCUCUGUCACCCUCACAGUAAAGAAGUGCCCCCUCAUAUUCAGCCAGAACCUUCUGUGCUUCAGUUUGUGCCCAUUGUCUCUCGUCCUGUAGCUGGACACAACUGAAAAGAGACUGGCUCCAUCCUCUUGACACCCUCCCCUCAGAUAUUUAUAUAUACAUUAAUGAGGUCAGUCUUCUCUUUUCCAGGCUAAACAGGUCCAGCUCUCUAAGCCUGCCAUCACACUACAGACCUCUAAUUGUCUUUAUAGCCUUCCCUUGAACUUGCUCCAGUAGUUCUAUGUCGCUCUUGUACUGGGUAGCCCAGAACUGGACACAAUACUCACAUUCCAGUUCAAAAGUAAGUAGAUUCU